GUGCCAGCAGCCGCGGUAAUACGUAGGGUCCAAGCGUUAAUCGGAAUUACUGGGCGUAAAGCGUGCGCAGGCGGUUGUGCAAGACCGAUGUGAAAUCCCCGAGCUUAACUUGGGAAUUGCAUCGGUGACUGCACGGCUAGAGUGUGUCAGAGGGGGGUAGAAUUCCACGUGUAGCAGUGAAAUGCGUAGAGAUGUGGAGGAAUACCGAUAGCGAAGGCAGCCCCCAGGGAUAACACUGACGCUCAUGCACGAAAGCGUGGGGAGCAAACAGGAUUAGAUACCCUGGUAGUCCACGCCCUAAACGAUGUCAACUAGUUGAUGGGGAUUCAUUUCCUUAGUAACGUAGCUAACGCGUGAAGUUGACCGCCUGGGGAGUACGGUCGCAAGAUUAAAACUCAAAGGAAUUGACGGGGACCCGCACAAGCGGUGGAUGAUGUGGAUUAAUUCGAUGCAACGCGAAAAACCUUACCUACCCUUGACAUGCCACUAACGAAGCAGA
Molecule: ribosomal RNA, 499 nt
Filed under: uncultured bacterium
Lineage: Bacteria
Description: bacterial SSU rRNA
Rfam family: Bacterial small subunit ribosomal RNA
Source: RNAcentral